CCUACGGGGGGCAGCAGUGAGGAAUAUUGGUCAAUGGACGAGAGUCUGAUCCAGCCACGUAGCGUGAAGGAUGACUGGCCUAUGCGUUGUAAACUUCUUUUAUAUGGGAGUAAAAUGUUCCACGUGUGGGAUUUUGUCUGUACCACUAGAAUAAGGAUCGGCUAACUACGUGCCAGCAGCCGCGGUAAUACGGAGGUUCCGAGCGUUAUCCGGAUUUAGUGGGUUUAAAGGGAGCGUAGGUGGAUUGUUAAGUCAGUUGUGAAAGUUUGCGGCUCAACCGUAAGAUUGCAGUUGAAACUGGCAGUCUUGAGUACAGUAGAGGUGGGCGGAAUUCGUGGUGUAGCGGUGAAAUGCUUAGAUAUCACGAAGAACUCCGAUGGCGAAGGCAGUUCACUGGACUGCAACUGACACUGAGGCUCGAAAGUGUGGGUAUCAAACAGGAUUAGAUACCCGUGUAGUC
This 460-nucleotide ribosomal RNA is filed under the name uncultured bacterium. Its description in RNAcentral is "partial 16S ribosomal RNA". It matches the Rfam family "Bacterial small subunit ribosomal RNA", at positions 338 to 795 of the family's 1533-position model. The record is from RNAcentral.